Molecule: long non-coding RNA, 6315 nt
Filed under: Equus caballus (horse)
Lineage: Eukaryota; Metazoa; Chordata; Mammalia; Perissodactyla; Equidae
Description: lncRNA (ENSECAG00000050672.1)
Source: RNAcentral
AUAAAAGCCAGGAUGUCACCCCAAAAGAGGAGAGCUCAAUAUGGCCAAAAGGGAGGUUGCCCAAAUUAGUCACUAGACACCCUGCUGGAACAGAAGAGACAAAAUUGUAGCAGAGAGAAAACAACACCUGCAUUGAAUCCAAGACACAAGGAUAGGAUGUGACUGAGUAAGACGUGGCUCACCUGAGAGACUGAGAGAACGCGGGACAGCAGGCGAAGGGGAAAAGUCGGGAUUGACUUGGAUUGUUAAGGAGUUGGCUCCUAGUGAACGCAGACAUCAUGUAUGAGUGCCUAGAAGCAAAUCCUGCUUCCAGACCAAGUGACUGACAGCUGCAUUCGCUCUUUUGGAUUCUAAAAAGAUGUCCUUGUAUACUUAUCAUAAGUUAGACAUUUUACUUAUGCUAACUUAAGUGGUAUCUAAAAGCAAUCAUCUUUCAAUAUAGAACAAAUAGAUUUUGCCAUCUCUAAUUCUGUAAUUUUAUGAUGACAUUUCAUAUACAACCCAUACACAGAAAUGUAGUUAUAUCAAACUUUUACCCUCAUAAGGAUCCUAUGAUGUAGGUAUUAUUAUAAUCACCACUUUCCAAAUAAGAAAAUUGAAGCACAGAAAAGUUAAAUAACUUGUCCAAUGUCAUCCAAUGAGUAUUUAAGGUCAUUCACACAGACUGUGUGGCUGCAGGAUCCACACUCUUAAGAACUAUAAAAUUUACAGCAUAUCAAUCACUUUUCCAUGAUUCAAAUAAUCAUAUUUUAGAGAAGCCUUAUGGUAACUCAUAAUUUAUUUAGAAAUUACUUUAAGCAGAGUAAACAAAACAAUACAGCCAUUAGAAGGAGCACGAGAAAACUAUAAGCAUCUGGAAUUAUGAGUUUGAUGUGCAGAUUAAAGUCAUAAAACCUUUAACCUUCCUUUAUAGAAUGCCUCAUUGACCACACUUUCUCAAAGGAGUUACAAAGAAGAUUGAUAUAUGAUAAAAUCAUUAGGAAAAUUAGGGGAUUUAUUUUAAUUUUCCAAUGAAUAAGCAAACAUGAAGCAGAGAGUAAUAAGACCAAAUAUUUAUUAAGCAUUCAAGAGAGCUCGAGCAACAGUUCUUGAGUGGCUGAGAAUCACUUUCCGGAUUAAGAUAAUCUUUGUAUCUAGCCUUCCUUCCUCUGUAACAUGUAUUUAUUUAACAUGAGACAUAAGAAUCUAAGACUAGUGUAUUGUGUGAUUAAGUUGACAUUUUUAAGUUUCUGUUGGAUUUAUUUUUUGCUAAAAUCGAUAUCAUUUUAAGAUAAAGCCAAAUGUAAUCUCUAAAAGUAAGUUUUAAAAAGUUAAUGACCAAGAAUGUAACAAUAAUAAGCAAUGAUGUUUUGGAUCAUAAAGAAUUAGACGAUAAGAAUCUACUGUUUAUACACUGAGCCCAACUCUGUGAGGCAAGAGAGAAAUAAAGGGCAAAAACCUCUGCCACAAAGAGGACAAUCUGGCUUGGAAGACAAAAGGGACCUGCAUGAAACAAACACAUACAGUUAAUGAAGGUACGUAAGUCCUUACCUUAGCCUUACAAGUUGAGAAGUAUUUCAAUAAGCCAAAAGAAGAGAGGAGGCCAAGUUUAAUUCCAGAGAAGCAGCAUUAACAUAAGCUUGGAAACAGGCAGUAUUAUAUUGUGAUUAUCCUUCCAACAACCAUUCCUACCACCAUGCUGUUUAGAAGAUAGUGGCACCAGUUCCAGUAAUGCACUGGGCCCCAGGAUAUCCUGGGUAAUUCCAUUCUUCUUUCCACAGUCACUGGUCCAGGCCAUUCAGGCCUAAGCCAAUCAAUAACUAGUAUCCACUGGUGACAGUGAUUCAAGGGAGGACUCUUGAUUUUGACAUGGGAUGCUUUCUCUCACAUUGGCCAUAGGGAAGCUUGGGUCUCUGGUUAUCAAGAGUGUGGAUCCUGCAGCCACACAGUCUGUGAAAUGACCUUAGGUAUGAAACAUGAAAUAUAUUAUUUUUCAUAAUCAUGGGAAAUAGAGAUGCUUUCUACUGAGGAAGUUUUGUCAGCAUAGAAUAAAUACUAAUAUGUGAUUCUUUUCACAGUCCUUAAAAUGUGACAUCUGUAAAGAGAAGUUUGUUUUUUGGUUGUAUAAUACUCUCAUUGAUAACAUAUCAACAAUGAAGAAAAUACACAGAGAGAUUUCCAAAACAUUUCUACUGCGUAUAACACUGUCCAAUCUAUUUGACUUCAUUAAAAGGAAAACAUAAUUUUUUAUCCCCCUAUCUCACAGCGAUAUUUUUAAAGUUAGGGCUUAUGAAAGGAGUAUGUUGUGAUGGUGCACAAUAAGCUUUUAGGAAGACUAUAAGCAGAAUUGCACUAAAAUGAAAAUCACUGCUAAGACAUUUAAUGGUCAAAUUUAUAUUUCUUUUCAAUAACUGUUUUAUUAUUUAUGUGUUCUAGUUUCUAAAACACUCAGAAUACUAGUCAUAAAGCUUCUUUAAUCAUUCAGAGUCCCUCUGAAUCAUUUUCUUUCCCAACACAGUUGAAACAUUUGUAAUGGCACAACAUAGACAAAGUAAGAAUAAAAGAACUUUACAGCACUCCCAUUUCAAACAAGGAAAAGUACGAUGCAACUAAUCCAUAUUCCUUUGAAUUAAAGUUGGUUACGAUAUUAUUUCAAAUAGCUAAAUUUCUUAUUUUUCCUCUUGAAAUCUAAACAGUCCUUUCACUAUUUGCAGUCAGUGAUUUUUAACUGAUAUUUAGGUCACCCAACUGUUCUCUUUUUUCUCUUAUCCUAGUUUCCAAAUCUGUACGUUUCAUCAUUGCACUUUCAGUCAGCACAAUAUAUGAAUACACAAAAUCAAUACUCAAUUUGAUAUAUAUAGGACUAAUUUUAACAAACUUCAUCUUAAUCAAGCCUUAGUUCAAAUGUUAUCUCUAUUUUAAAUGUCCUCUCUUACUCGGUGUUGUAAAGUUCUUCAUUUCACUCUCAACACCUCUCUCUCUCUUCACAUUUUCAACAACAGCUUGUCUAUUUUUUCUUAUUUUUGAUUUGGGAAUUUUUGCCAUUGAAUAAGAAGCAGCAAUUGUUUCUUUUUGCACCUCAACUAUGUCUUUCAAAAUUUUUUUAAUGUAUAAAAAUAACUUCUUACCUAGAGCAAAGAAUGCUAAUUAACCCUCAUAAGCCAACAGUUCUGGUUUAUUAGAUUUCCAAAAUAUACUUAGUUUUUGAGCAAAUUUUAAAAGAGAAAUUUAAAAAGUCAAUUUCUUUCAAUAUCUAGAAACAAUAGAUUUCUAACCUCCUAAAAUAAUCCCCUCGACAAAAACAUAAAAUCUAAAACUUUGCAAGAAACAUAAAUCCUAUUUUUUCAAAAGGUAUUUGUAUAACUUCUCGUUGAACUCCCCAAAAUAUCACCCAACAACUAGCUAAUAAAACCAAACCAUUUGGACCCACUAAGGGAGAAUGCUAUCUCGACAAAGUAUUGGCAGUGUCUCAGAAGAAAAAUGUCAGAAGUGAGAAAUUUAUGAAACUUUGGAUUUUGAGCUCAAGUGAUUAAAGGUGAGUCUUUCAAGGCAGUAAAUUAAUUAGAAUAUGAUAAAAAAAUAUUUAUCCUACAAUAAUUUAGGAUUGGUAGACAUAGCAAAACGAGGGUCUUGAAGCUAGUCUUGGAAAGCAAAUCCCUCAUUGAUAAGUGAGGAGUUUGCCUAGGUGAGUAGAUUAUUAUCUCCAAUAAAUUGACCUAUAGGAAAUUCCUGAAGCAAACAGUAAAGUUUUUUAUUGGUUUAUAAUUUCAUCUCUCUCAGGCAAAAUUUUCUUGGAACAAACAUCUAAGUUAGGUUGACAUCAUUGGUCUAAAAUCUUAUCUGUUGAAACAGAUGGUCUUAGUUCUCAGUUUUCCCUUUGGUCAUUCUUCAGGCUGACCUGGAGUAUAGACAGUUACCAUAAGGGGAAAUGAUUACACAGAUGUUUGUAGAGUCAUCAUUAUGUAUCAGGGUUCUGUUGGUGGUCAUUUCAACCAUCGUAUACAUCAGGUUUUCUUGCUCUUUUUGUUGGGUUAUCAUUUAAUGGAACAGUGCCUAUGAAAGGCAUUUAAGAUUCUAGAGAUGACAUACUUGAAUCUAGCAUUGACUGGACACAGUUAAAUACUAAGAAUACUGUGAUCAGAUUCUACGGUCUACAUCUAAGAGCCAAGAAUUAACAGUGGUCUAAUUAAACCAAGAAAAGAGAUUGCAUCCACAAAAAGACCUGCAGACUAGAUCUGGGUUUAUUAGUCAAAUUACUUAAUUUCACAAUUUCCUUAUUUGUUUUCUGGAACUUCUUAGUAAUAUUAAAAUUCUCAGAAAUAUCUAUAGGAAUGUAAAUACAAUACCCUUUCCCUAAAUGGUACAUGUAAUACCUCUGCAGUCCAGUUAUGUCUAGGGCUUCUUAUUUUCAAACAGGGAAGGAGUUGUAUGAAUUUCUAUUAUCUAACUCUUCUCCUUUCAGUCUCUGACCUAUGGCAUGUUAAGAUUUUCCCCACCAUCCAUGCCUCGGGUAAAGAGUGAUAUAAAGAGGCUUAAGGACAGAAGAAAACCAUCCAUAAUUCCCCUUGAGUAAUUAAGAUUUCUGGUCUCGAUAGAGGCCCAGUUUUUCUCCUUCUUGAAAAAAGCUACAUAGUCAUCUCUUUUCGGAGAGUGUCAAAUAAUGGACCAAAAUGUACCCUGAGUGAUAUCAGAGACUACUUGACGACCUUGAAACAGGCAUCAAUUUACUAAGACAACAAGUACCUGUCCAAUUUGUUAGUAGUAGUCAGUAGGCUUUUGUGCCACAAAUUCAAUACCUAUGGCAGGGGUCUUCCCAAUCACAAGUUCUUAGGCAAAACACCCCUAGGUGGAUACCAAGUGUUAUUGUACGGUUUUGGCAUUAUUUGGAGGCACGCUUCUCUCUAAAUAUAGUGUAGAAUAUACAGUGGGAGAAUACAUAGUAAAGACAUCAUGAAAUAGACGAAAUGUUAUAUAGAGAAUAUAAAGAUUUCCUACAUAGUAAACCCUGUUUGUAAGGUCUGUAAACGUGAGACAGGUAUAAAUAUAUUCCACAAGUUCCCUUUCUGAGUCUUUCCUUUGUGAAAGUUGUUAUAUAGAGGUGUGCUCCUACAAGUGGUACCUGGAUAUCACAGAAACCUGCCUUUCUACCUUCCUAGGUAUGACAUAAUAGGGUGUUUUCAUUUUUGGUUAUCUGCCUGAUGUGCUGUCCUCCACAAAACUAACAAAGAAACAACAAGAAAACAAAAACCACACAUUACUAAUUGAGUCAACUGACUGAUGAAACCAAAUGUUUUACUAUAAGCAAUUGGAACUACAGGAAGCUAAUGGACACUCAGAGAAAAUGGUUACAAGCCCAGUAAUUGGUUCAAUCACAUGUUUUACCCAAAUCCAAAUCAAGAACAGGUUACAUCCAGGUAUUGAACUUAAAUUUAGGAGUGAAAAAGGAUGCAGAAAGCAAUAAUGAUCAGAGAGAACUCAUAAAUAACAUAGUUAAGAACUAACAAAUACGUUUGUUAAAAAUUCAGAAGUUUAACCCGAAAAGAGGAAAUAAAAUGACUAGAAAAAUAAAGAACAAAAGCACACAGAUUAAAGGGUGACAAUCUGUGGCUCCAGUGCUCUAGAAUCAGUUCCAUAGGUCUGGAGCAGAAGCUGUCCAUGUCAUACAGCCGUUUUCUUCAUUCAAAACUCUUGGGUGGAAGCUGUCUCAUUUCAAAGACCAUCUGCUGCUGAAGGAUUCUUAAGAAACCUUAAUUUAGAAUAGACAUUAGGAUGGCAGUUCAGGUGUCAGAGGGUGUUAAGCCUACAACUUCUUGGUAUUCAUAUCCUGAUAUUUAUACCCUUGUGUAAUUCCACAUUGUACCAAGAUUGGUCUGUGAGACUGACAGAAUAUGGUAGAAAUGAUAGUAUUUCAAUUAUGAGAUUAAAUAAUAAAAUACAUUGACUUCCUCCUUCUUGAUUAUUCUCUCUCUCUCCCUAUCUUCCUCUUUCCUUUCUCUCUCUAUUUUUCUCUCUCUCUCUUUCUUGUUUCAGGCCAUUCCUGCUCCAGGGGAUACCAGUUGCCAUGUCAUGAGCAGCCCACUGGAGAAGUCCAUGUGAUGAGAUACUGAGGCCUCCCAGCUGAUAAUCAUGUGAACAACCUUGGAGAUGGAUACUCUAGCCCAGUCGAGCCUUUGGAUGACUGCAGCCUCAGCCAAUAGCUUGACUGCAAGCUCUUGAGAGAUCCUGUUCCAAAAUCAUCUGUUUUAUGUCACUCAACUUGGGGAUAAUUUAUUAAAUAAUUUUCAAUGUUUGCUGUUUUAUGUCACUCAACUUGGGGAUAAUUUAUUAAAUAAUUUG